Molecule: unclassified non-coding RNA, 850 nt
Filed under: Hevea brasiliensis (rubber tree)
Lineage: Eukaryota; Viridiplantae; Streptophyta; Magnoliopsida; Malpighiales; Euphorbiaceae
Source: RNAcentral
GAGAAAAGCGGAAUGAGGUCAAGCGAGCUUCCAAAUUAGAGGGAAAAAUAUUAAGAUCGGGGAUGGUUCUUUUGAAGGGUUAUUUGUCUAUGGAUGAUCAGGUUAAAAUGGUAAAAAAAUGCCGAGACCUUGGCUUAGGCCCUGGAGGUUUCUAUCAACCUAACUACCAUGAUGGUGCAAAACUGCAUUUGAGAAUGAUGUGCCUUGGUAGGAAUUGGGACCCCAAUACUAGUAUGUAUGGAGAAUAUCGACCAAUAGAUGGUGCUAAACCACCCAAGAUUCCUCAUGAAUUUUGUAGCUUGGUUGAGAAUGCUAUGAAAGAUUCCUGUGCUUUCAUAGAAGGAAAUUCUGAAGCAAGCAGUUUAGAAGAUUGUCUGCCAUGGAUGUCACCAGACAUCUGUAUUGUAAAUUUUUACUCAGCAAGUGGGCGGCUUGGUCUCCAUCAGGAUAAAGAUGAAAGUGAAAGAAGUCUAAAGAAACGAUUGCCUGUGGUUUCAUUUUCAAUUGGAGAUGAAGGAGAGUUCGUGUAUGGUGAGAACAGAGAUGAAAAGAAUGCUGCGAAAGUUAUACUGGAAUCAGGAGAUGUGCUGAUAUUUGGUGGGAAGUCUAGACAUAUAUUUCAUGGAGUACGAUCAGUUCACCCCAACACUGCUCCCAAGUCUCUACUUGAAGAAACAAAUCUUCGUCCAGGCCGUUUAAAUCUAACUUUCAGAGAGUACUGAAAUAUUGGAUAUGCUUGGAGCUGUUUCUAGUGAUUGUAAAUAUAUGCCAAACAGGUGCAAUCGGAGAUACUGUUAUUUGACAUACUUGUUGAGGGGAAUAUAAUAUGACCCUUUUCUUGAGGAAUCUC